This 493-nucleotide ribosomal RNA is filed under the name uncultured bacterium. Its description in RNAcentral is "partial 16S ribosomal RNA". It matches the Rfam family "Bacterial small subunit ribosomal RNA", at positions 29 to 507 of the family's 1533-position model. The record is from RNAcentral.
AGUGAACGCUGGCGGUAGGCCUAACACAUGCAAGUCGAACGGCAGCACAGUAAGAGCUUGCUCUUACGGGUGGCGAGUGGCGGACGGGUGAGGAAUACAUCGGAAUCUACUUUUUCGUGGGGGAUAACGUAGGGAAACUUACGCUAAUACAGCAUACGACCUACGGGUGAAAGCAGGGGAUCUUCGGACCUUGCGCGAUUGAAUGAGCCGAUGGCGGAUUAGCUAGUUGGCGGGGUAAAGGACCACCAAGGCGACGAUCCGUAGCUGGUCUGAGAGGGUGGAUCGCCACCUUGGGACGGGAGCACGGCCCAAGCUCCUACGGGAGGGCGCAGUAGGGAAUUUUUGGCAAGGGGCGGAAAUCUGACCGCACCCCGCCGCGGGAGUGAAGAAGGUCGUCGGGUUGUAAAACCCUUUUGGUAGGGAAAAAAGUGGGGGAGAUUAGAACCCUCAUCUUGUGACGGUACCUAAAGAGAAAGAGCCGGCUAACUACGUG